Molecule: ribosomal RNA, 221 nt
Filed under: Vibrio parahaemolyticus
Lineage: Bacteria; Pseudomonadati; Pseudomonadota; Gammaproteobacteria; Vibrionales; Vibrionaceae
Description: partial 23S ribosomal RNA
Rfam family: Bacterial large subunit ribosomal RNA
Source: RNAcentral
UAAGGCUGAGACACGACGUCGAGCACCUACGGGUGUGAAGUCAUUGAUGCCAUGCUUCCAGGAAAAGCCUCUAAGCUUCAGAUUGUAAGGAAUCGUACCCCAAACCGACACAGGUGGUCGGGUAGAGAAUACCAAGGCGCUUGAGAGAACUCGGGUGAAGGAACUAGGCAAAAUGGUACCGUAACUUCGGGAGAAGGUACGCUCUCGACGGUGAAGUCCCU